RNAcentral lists this ribosomal RNA (239 nucleotides) under uncultured bacterium. RNAcentral's name for it is "partial 16S ribosomal RNA". It matches the Rfam family "Bacterial small subunit ribosomal RNA", at positions 92 to 334 of the family's 1533-position model. The record is from RNAcentral.
CGACCGGCGCACGGGUGCGUAACGCGUAUGCAACCUACCUUUAACAGGGGGAUAACACUGAGAAAUUGGUACUAAUACCCCAUAAUAUCAUAGAAGGCAUCUUUAUGGUUGAAAAUUCCGAUGGUUAGAGAUGGGCAUGCGUUGUAUUAGCUAGUUGGUGGGGUAACGGCUCACCAAGGCGACGAUACAUAGGGGGACUGAGAGGUUAACCCCCCACACUGGUACUGAGACACGGCCAG